UGGGGAAUAUUGCACAAUGGGCGCAAGCCUGAUGCAGCCAUGCCGCGUGUAUGAAGAAGGCCUUCGGGUUGUAAAGUACUUUCAGCGGGGAGGAAGGGAGUAAAGUUAAUACCUUUGCUCAUUGACGUUACCCGCAGAAGAAGCACCGGCUAACUCCGUGCCAGCAGCCGCGGUAAUACGGAGGGUGCAAGCGUUAAUCGGAAUUACUGGGCGUAAAGCGCACGCAGGCGGUUUGUUAAGUCAGAUGUGAAAUCCCCGGGCUCAACCUGGGAACUGCAUCUGAUACUGGCAAGCUUGAGUCUCGUAGAGGGGGGUAGAAUUCCAGGUGGAGCGGUGAAAUGCGUAGAGAUCUGGAGGAAUACCGGUGGCGAAUGCGGCCCCCUGGACGAAGACUGACGCUCAGGUGCGAAAGCGUGGGGAGCAAACAGG
RNAcentral lists this ribosomal RNA (429 nucleotides) under Chloroflexota bacterium. Its description in RNAcentral is "Chloroflexi bacterium partial 16S ribosomal RNA". It matches the Rfam family "Bacterial small subunit ribosomal RNA", at positions 355 to 776 of the family's 1533-position model. Lineage: Bacteria; Bacillati; Chloroflexota. The record is from RNAcentral.